GACAAUAUGGCCGAGCGGUCUAAGGCGAUAGACUAGAAAUCUAUUCUCUUCGGAGGCGUCGGUUCAAAUCCGACUGUUGUCG
Transfer RNA from Aspergillus aculeatus ATCC 16872, 82 nucleotides. It matches the Rfam family "tRNA". Rfam says of the family: Transfer RNA (tRNA) molecules are approximately 80 nucleotides in length. Their secondary structure includes four short double-helical elements and three loops (D, anti-codon, and T loops). Further hydrogen bonds mediate the characteristic L-shaped molecular structure. tRNAs have two regions of fundamental functional importance: the anti-codon, which is responsible for specific mRNA codon recognition, and the 3' end, to which the tRNAs corresponding amino acid is attached (by aminoacyl-tRNA synthetases). tRNAs cope with the degeneracy of the genetic code in two manners: having more than one tRNA (with a specific anti-codon) for a particular amino acid; and 'wobble' base-pairing, i.e. permitting non-standard base-pairing at the 3rd anti-codon position. Lineage: Eukaryota; Fungi; Ascomycota; Eurotiomycetes; Eurotiales; Aspergillaceae. The record is from Rfam.